UCAAGUGUUGUACUUGUUGAAAAGGACAGAUCAUAUAUAAAGUCAGAAGCUGUGUUGAAGAUAAUGGAAUACAUUGACUUGCCAUUUCCCCGGCUAGCAUUUUUCCUCCACUUUGUGCCUCUGUUCGUGAGGGAUUUUGUUUAUGACAAUGUUGCAAACAACCGUUACACAAUUUUUGGUCGCUCAGAAUCAUGUGAGGUAUAUUAUGAUUGAAAGUUUGAACUCACUCAUUGCACUUAUAUUUGUAUGUAUGUUGUGUAGCACACAUAUGAAAGAUCUUGUGUUUGUUUGUUCGUUGCUCUGUUCAAAAGGACUAGAAUUGUGAGAAUAUGCACAAUUUCAGAUGUAACGAUGUAAUCAUUAUCUGUAUAUAUUUCCAUAGUUCUG
Molecule: unclassified non-coding RNA, 387 nt
Filed under: Hevea brasiliensis (rubber tree)
Lineage: Eukaryota; Viridiplantae; Streptophyta; Magnoliopsida; Malpighiales; Euphorbiaceae
Source: RNAcentral